AGUGGGGUCUUGCAAAUGUUAGCUCCAUCCCUCUUCCUUGUGUCAGCAAUCCAAAUAUGUGCCAUUCCACUUGCUGGCAAUGACACAUCCUAGUCUAGUGUCAUGUGAAAGUCGAGGCUCCACACUCCACAUACUAUCAUGAUGUCAAGAAAAGGAUAGGCUUCAAUUUUAUCUUCAGAAUGACGAAUUUUCAUCACUGUAUUUCUGCAGCCAAUAAACGUUGCUGAGGAUUACUCUAAAGGUGAAUCAUUCGCCAAUCCUGUCUUUAUAAGUGGGACAGGAAUAGAUUCUGCUUGGGGUGGCUUUUCAAAAUACUCUACUAAGCACUAUUACUAUCAAUGGCCACAUUUUAAAGAUAAUGUUUCCUCCAUUUUCAUUUCAAUAAAAAUUAGAGAACAAUGGCCGUUGUAGACUAGUCUAGGAACUCUAGAAUUGCACGUUGGUGCUCUACUCAAUUGCAAUGGAAUAGAACUAGCAAGAAUAUAAGCAGAUAAUCAGAAGCAACAUAUAUAAGAUGCCAGCGCUGAAGAAUUAGAAUACAGACGAAGUCGACCAAAGAGAUGAAGGUUUUUUUUAAUUACUCUAGCAGCUCAUAAAGUUGUUUUAUUGGUACAUAUUAAAUAAGUUAGCCGUUGAAAAAGUAAGUCGAGUAUUAGGUAAACCUGUCAACCGGGCCGGGUUGACCCGGGACCGGACCGGCAAAAACCGGAACCGGACCGGACGGUUAGCAAGGACCGGGCUCGGCUGGGUCAUAGGGGGUAGGGGUUGGUCCGUUAGGAUUUUUUGGUAUCGGAACCGAACCGGACCGGUCCGGUAUAGUCAACAGUACCGCGAACCGGUAUGGACCGGCCCGGUUCAACGGUAAAAUUUAUUUUUUUUAUUUUUUUAUUUUUGAAUAUGUGGGGCCCACAUUACCGUUGGCCAACGGACAAUUUUUCAAAAAUG
RNAcentral lists this long non-coding RNA (945 nucleotides) under Nicotiana benthamiana. RNAcentral describes it as "long non-coding RNA (NBEN_LNC038308)". The record is from RNAcentral. Lineage: Eukaryota; Viridiplantae; Streptophyta; Magnoliopsida; Solanales; Solanaceae.